Molecule: ribosomal RNA, 253 nt
Filed under: uncultured bacterium
Lineage: Bacteria
Description: partial 16S ribosomal RNA
Rfam family: Bacterial small subunit ribosomal RNA
Source: RNAcentral
UACGUAGGGGGCUAGCGUUGUCCGGAAUCAUUGGGCGUAAAGCGCGUGUAGGCGGUCCGGUAAGUCCGCUGUGAAAGUCGGGGGCUCAACCCUCGAAAGCCGGUGGAUACUGUCGGGCUCGAGUACGGAAGAGGCGAGUGGAAUUCCUGGUGUAGCGGUGAAAUGCGUAGAUAUCAAGAGGAACACCUGAGGUGAAGACGGGUUGCUGGGCUGACACUGACGCUGAUGCGCGAAAGCCAGGGGAGCAAACGGG